UACGAAGGGGGCUAGCGUUGUUCGGAAUCACUGGGCGUAAAGCGCACGUAGGCGGGUCGUUAAGUCAGGGGUGAAAUCCCGAGGCUCAACCUCGGAACUGCCUUUGAUACUGGCGACCUUUGAGUCCGGGAGAGGUGAGUGGAACUCCGAGUGUAGAGGUGAAAUUCGUAGAUAUUCGCAAGAACACCAGUGGCGAAGGCGGCUCACUGGCCCGAUACUGACGCUGGAGGUGCGAAAGCGUGGGGAGCAAACAGG
RNAcentral lists this ribosomal RNA (255 nucleotides) under uncultured bacterium. RNAcentral's name for it is "partial 16S ribosomal RNA". It matches the Rfam family "Bacterial small subunit ribosomal RNA", at positions 524 to 776 of the family's 1533-position model. The record is from RNAcentral.